This 465-nucleotide ribosomal RNA is filed under the name Vreelandella stevensii. Its description in RNAcentral is "partial 16S ribosomal RNA". It matches the Rfam family "Bacterial small subunit ribosomal RNA", at positions 338 to 795 of the family's 1533-position model. The record is from RNAcentral. Lineage: Bacteria; Pseudomonadati; Pseudomonadota; Gammaproteobacteria; Oceanospirillales; Halomonadaceae.
CCUACGGGAGGCAGCAGUGGGGAAUAUUGGACAAUGGGGGCAACCCUGAUCCAGCCAUGCCGCGUGUGUGAAGAAGGCCCUCGGGUUGUAAAGCACUUUCAGUGAGGAAGAACGCCUGGUGGUUAAUACCCAUCAGGAAAGACAUCACUCACAGAAGAAGCACCGGCUAACUCCGUGCCAGCAGCCGCGGUAAUACGGAGGGUGCGAGCGUUAAUCGGAAUUACUGGGCGUAAAGCGCGCGUAGGUGGCUUGAUAAGCCGGUUGUGAAAGCCCCGGGCUCAACCUGGGAACGGCAUCCGGAACUGUCAAGCUAGAGUGCAGGAGAGGAAGGUAGAAUUCCCGGUGUAGCGGUGAAAUUCGUAGAGAUCGGGAGGAAUACCAGUGGCGAAGGCGGCCUUCUGGACUGACACUGACACUGAGGUGCGAAAGCGUGGGUAGCAAACAGGAUUAGAUACCCUAGUAGUC